RNAcentral lists this long non-coding RNA (1524 nucleotides) under Neogobius melanostomus (round goby). RNAcentral's name for it is "lncRNA (ENSNMLG00000005760.1)". The record is from RNAcentral. Lineage: Eukaryota; Metazoa; Chordata; Actinopteri; Gobiiformes; Gobiidae.
AUGGCGCAAGGUUGGAACCCAUACUUGCACAAUUUCAUAUCGUUACCCUCAGACCAUGGAACUCCAGAUGCAGAAGUGGGCCAUCCUCAUCCAGCAGAUGACUUCAUAGGCCAUGGUGGAUUCUCCAGUGCAAGCAUUUCACAUGGUGCCUCUGCGGCAAACACAAACUAUUGUUUCAGUAAUAGUACUGGAAGUAGCAAUUCUAAUUGGAGUUCAGAAAUUGGAAAUUCUCAAAGAAACUACAGAGAAAUGGCAUGGCAAUCUGAUGGAGAACAAAAAGCGUACUUGCCGAGAUGGGACAACAGCGUGUCAAAUUUUGAAGGAAAUGUUUUGGAAACUGAUGGACAUUGUUCAAUUGCACCACAGUUGGGACUUAAACAUGAAUCUGUGGUGCCCAAAGGCUCUCAGUAUCUUGAUAACUACCUGAACAUCCAAGGCUCUUCAGCUGAAGUUAGUGAACCGAGAUCUUGUGACUUCAUGACCAGCUCAUCUGAACAUAACCCUCAAACUGGAACAACUGCAAGGUACAACCCUCAAUGGCUUCAAAGACACACUGAAAAUUCUAUUAUGUCUGCUGACCGUGCAUACUCAAAUAUGUGGCCAAAUUUAGCAGCAGAAAAUGCAACCAAAUGUGUCCAAGAAAAAAGUAUAUCACAUGAGCAUCAUGAAAUUACAUUUGUCAACUCAAAUACAUAUGCUGAUUCAGGGACACAGAGGACAGGUGAUUUUGACCAAACGAACAAACAAACUUUAGUAAACAUUUGUCAGAAUGUUAACUUAACUGAACACUACAAUGGCAUAGACUCACGAAGUAUGAUGGACACAGUUGACAAAAGUAAAGACAAGAAUCUUGAUUCAGCUGCACACGAGGCUUCCACAGAUAAUCAAGCAACAAUUAUACAAACAUCUGAUUCUUGCCUAAAUGAGAAAGAUGACUGUCCAUCUCAAAGUUCAUCUCAGUCCAGUGUUACUAAUGAUUUUGUGAACAGUGAUGUCAGUUUGACUGAUAACAGUGAAGCCAGUAAUGAUUCACAGUCCAGUUUGCACUCUAAAGCUGUGAGUGCAGAUGAAGAGUUUGUAGAAACUGCAGAUUGUUCAGCAUAUUCACCUUCAAGCCCUACAGCCUGUGAUGAUAGUCAUUCUGACAUGUUCCCUGAGUCUCAUAUGGAUUCUUUAACAGACACUGUGGGUGAAGAACAAGUGGCACCGUCAAACGAGGAGGUGGCUGCUUUUUCUUCUUUGAGCAACAGUGACCCUUCUACUGUCAAUGCUGAAGACAUGAAAGAUGACGAGUUGAUUGAAAGUAAUGUGUCAUGUAACAUUGGUUUUAGUGUGAGUACCAUUGACGACAAAACAAAUGAGAGCGAUCCAUUUGAUUCAGCUGCUAAAGCAACUAUUGACGACAAAACAAAUGAGAGCGAUCCAUUUGAUUCAGCUGCUAAAGCAACUAUUGACGACAAAACAAAUGAGAGCGAUCCAUUUGAUUCAGCUGCUAAAGCAACUAUUGACGACAAACAAAUGAGA